GGCGGCAGGCUUAACACAUGCAAGUCGAGCGGGCAUCCUUGUGGUGUCAGCGGCAGACGGGUGAGUAACGCGUGGGAACGUGCCCUUCGGUUCGGAAUAACUCAGGGAAACUUGAGCUAAUACCGGAUACGCCCUUUUGGGGAAAGGUUUACUGCCGAAGAUCGGCCCGCGUCUGAUUAGCUAGUUGGUGAGGUUAUGGCUCACCAAGGCGACGAUCAGUAGCUGGUCUGAGAGGAUGAUCAGCCACACUGGGACUGAGACACGGCCCAGACUCCUACGGGAGGCAGCAGUGGGGAAUAUUGGACAAUGGGGGCAACCCUGAUCCAGCCAUGCCGCGUGAGUGAUGACGGCCUUAGGGUUGUAAAGCUCUUUUCUCCGGGACGAUAAUGACGGUACCGGAGGAAUAAGCCCCGGCUAACUUCGUGCCAGCAGCCGCGGUAAUACGAAGGGGGCUAGCGUUGCUCGGAAUCACUGGGCGUAAAGGGCGCGUAGGCGGCUGAUUUAGUCGAGGGUGAAAGCCCGUGGCUCAACCACGGAAUGGCCUUCGAUACUGAUUGGCUUGAGACCGGAAGAGGACAGCGGAACUGCGAGUGUAGAGGUGAAAUUCGUAGAUAUUCGCAAGAACACCAGUGGCGAAGGCGGCUGUCUGGUCCGGUUCUGACGCUGAGGCGCGAAAGCGUGGGGAGCAAACAGGA
This 695-nucleotide ribosomal RNA is filed under the name uncultured bacterium. Its description in RNAcentral is "bacterial SSU rRNA". It matches the Rfam family "Bacterial small subunit ribosomal RNA", at positions 38 to 777 of the family's 1533-position model. The record is from RNAcentral.